UUGAAGGAGGAGUCUGCGGCCCAUCAGCUAGUUGGUAAGGUAAUGGCUUACCAAGGCAAAGACGGGUAGCUGGUCUGAGAGGAUGAUCAGCCACACUGGUACUGGAACACGGACCAGACUCCUACGGGAGGCAGCAGUGGGGAAUUUUCCGCAAUGGGCGAAAGCCUGACGGAGCAAGACCGCGUGAGGGACGAAGGCUCUUGGGUUGUAAACCUCUUUUCUCAAGGAAGAAGCAAGUGACGGUACUUGAGGAAUCAGCAUCGGCUAACUCCGUGCCAGCAGCCGCGGUA
Molecule: ribosomal RNA, 290 nt
Filed under: uncultured Cyanothece sp.
Lineage: Bacteria; Bacillati; Cyanobacteriota; Cyanophyceae; Gomontiellales; Cyanothecaceae
Description: partial 16S ribosomal RNA
Rfam family: Bacterial small subunit ribosomal RNA
Source: RNAcentral